RNAcentral lists this ribosomal RNA (299 nucleotides) under Amblyomma humerale. RNAcentral describes it as "partial 16S ribosomal RNA". Lineage: Eukaryota; Metazoa; Arthropoda; Arachnida; Ixodida; Ixodidae. The record is from RNAcentral.
AAAAUUUAAAUUAUUUUUGUUUGUGAAGAAACAACAAUAACCAUUAAGGACAAGAAGACCCUAAGAAUUUUUAAUUAAUGAUUACUAACUUAAAUAAAUAAUUAUUAAUUUUAAUUGGGGUGAUUAAUAAAAAUUAAAAACUUUAUUAUAAAAUAAUAUGAACCAUUAAUAAUGGUUUUUUGAAAAAAAUACUCUAGGGAUAACAGCGUAAUAAUUUUUAAUAGUUCAUAUAGACAAAAUAGUUUGCGACCUCGAUGUUGGAUUAGGAUUCUUAUUUAAUGCAGAAGUUAGAUAAAGAA